This 253-nucleotide ribosomal RNA is filed under the name uncultured bacterium. RNAcentral describes it as "partial 16S ribosomal RNA". It matches the Rfam family "Bacterial small subunit ribosomal RNA", at positions 524 to 776 of the family's 1533-position model. The record is from RNAcentral.
UACAGAGGGUGCGAGCGUUGUUCGGAAUUAUUGGGCGUAAAGGGCGCGUAGGCGGUGCCACAAGUCACCUGUGAAAUCUCUGGGCUUAACUCAGAGCCUGCGGGCGAAACUGUGGUGCUGGAGUAUGGGAGAGGUGCGUGGAAUUCCCGGUGUAGCGGUGAAAUGCGUAGAUAUCAGGAGGAACACCGGCGGCGAAGGCGGCCCUCUGGACCAUAACUGACGCUGAUGCACGAAAGCUAGGGGAGCAAACAGG